GACGAACGCUGGCGGCGUGCCUAAUACAUGCAAGUAGAACGCUGAAGGAGGAGCUUGCUUCUCUGGAUGAGUUGCGAACGGGUGAGUAACGCGUAGGUAACCUGCCUGGUAGCGGGGGAUAACUAUUGGAAACGAUAGCUAAUACCGCAUAAUAGUAGAUGUUGCAUGACAUUUGCUUAAAAGGUGCAAUUGCAUCACUACCAGAUGGACCUGCGUUGUAUUAGCUAGUUGGUGGGGUAACGGCUCACCAAGGCGACGAUACAUAGCCGACCUGAGAGGGUGAUCGGCCACACUGGGACUGAGACACGGCCCAGACUCCUACGGGAGGCAGCAGUAGGGAAUCUUCGGCAAUGGACGGAAGUCUGACCGAGCAACGCCGCGUGAGUGAAGAAGGUUUUUGGAUCGUAAAGCUCUGUUGUAAGAGAAGAACGAGUGUGAGAGUGGAAAGUUCACACUGUGACGGUAUCUUACCAGAAAGGGACGGCUAACUACGUG
This 495-nucleotide ribosomal RNA is filed under the name uncultured bacterium. Its description in RNAcentral is "partial 16S ribosomal RNA". It matches the Rfam family "Bacterial small subunit ribosomal RNA", at positions 28 to 507 of the family's 1533-position model. The record is from RNAcentral.